AAUCUUCCGCAAUGGGCGCAAGCCUGACGGAGCAACGCCGCGUGAGCGAAGAAGGCCUUCGGGUUGUAAAGCUCUGUCCAGGGGGAAGAAGCAAGUGACGGUACCCUUGGAGGAAGCCCCGGCUAACUACGUGCCAGCAGCCGCGGUAAAACGUAGGGGGCGAGCGUUGUCCGGAAUUACUGGGCGUAAAGGGCGUGUAGGCGGCUAUGCAAGUCAGGAGUGAAAACCGUCGGCUCAACCGGCGGCCUGCUUCUGAAACUGCAUGGCUUGAGUGCAGGAGAGGGAAGUGGAAUUCCCAGUGUAGCGGUGAAAUGCGUAGAUAUUGGGAGGAACACCAGUGGCGAAAGCGGCUUCCUGGCCUGUAACUGACGCUGAGGCGCGAAAGCGUGGGGAGCAAACAGG
Molecule: ribosomal RNA, 402 nt
Filed under: uncultured bacterium
Lineage: Bacteria
Description: partial 16S ribosomal RNA
Rfam family: Bacterial small subunit ribosomal RNA
Source: RNAcentral